UGAAGGGCCGCGGUAUUUUGACCGUGCAAAGGUAGCAUAAUCAUUAGUUCUUUAAUUGUGAUCUGGAAUGAAUGGCUUGACGAGACACGAGCUGUCUUAGGUUGUGAAUGUUUUAUUGAAUUUGGUUUUUGAGUUAAAAUUCUUAGAUGUUUUUAUGGGACGAGAAGACCCUAUAGAGUUUAACAUUUGGUCUAUUUUUCUUGUUGUUCGUUUUAUUUAAUUGAGUGGGCUUAUAUGUUUUGUUGGGGCGAUGAGAGGGAUAUAGUUUAACCCCUCUUUAUUUUGGUUAUAUUAAUUUAUAGUUGCUUGAUCCAUUGAUUUUGAUUAUAAGAUUAAAUUACCU
RNAcentral lists this ribosomal RNA (343 nucleotides) under Heterotermes cardini. Its description in RNAcentral is "partial 16S ribosomal RNA". Lineage: Eukaryota; Metazoa; Arthropoda; Insecta; Blattodea; Rhinotermitidae. The record is from RNAcentral.